AAUAUAUCUGCCUGGAUCGCAUAGAUCGUACUAUUUUUUUUGAAGUGUUACAUCCCCCAAGUGCUACCAAAAUGCCUUACAACAGCGUCACGCUUUAGUGUCACAAGUGCAACUUACCGGAGUUACCAGAGCGUCCCUAGGGAGCCGCUAUUGAUAGGAGAGCGUUAGCGAGCAGUGUUGGUUAACAGCCGAAGCAACACAAACAACAGACAAUCAAUCAUUAUCCAACACACGCCAGUUCUGCUUCUUCUGCAACGACAACAACGAAAACAGCAACAACAAGAACAACAACAACAACAAUUUCUUCCGGCUCUUCAGCUGCAGCAAUAACAGCUAAACGAUUGUGCAUUUUAUGAGCGAGCGUGCGAUUCGUGCUGGUCGUCGCUGUCGUCGGUUGAUGUCUCGGAUGUCGCUGAUGUGGAUGUGGAUGUCGACCGGUGCCGGUGGCCAAAACAUUCAGUUGAAUUCAACGCUGUGAGCAACACACGCUGGAAGCGCCGAUGGAACCGCGUCGCGACGCAGCGGCAACGGCAGCAGCGGCAGCGACAACAAUAACAACAACAA
Molecule: small RNA, 564 nt
Filed under: Drosophila virilis
Lineage: Eukaryota; Metazoa; Arthropoda; Insecta; Diptera; Drosophilidae
Description: GJ27023
Source: RNAcentral